CGUUUCGUUCGCAAUGAAAAAG
Molecule: transfer RNA, 22 nt
Filed under: Micrococcus luteus
Lineage: Bacteria; Bacillati; Actinomycetota; Actinomycetes; Micrococcales; Micrococcaceae
Description: tRNA-Ala
Source: RNAcentral